ACGGCAGCGGACCUUGAACCCUUGUGCAAAUUUACCAGGGGAUGUGGAAAAACAAACACCGAGGAGCCCGGAGAGAGCGGUGGUGGUGGUUAAAGCUACCUCUGAAUAGCAAUUUUCAAAUAGAGUUGGUAAUGAAUUUUGCAGCCAAAUGCUUUUGAUCAGACUGAGUUGGGAAUCAUUCAGACUAUGACUUUAGCAGACAAGGAGAUGAAGAGCUUAACUGUCUGUAAGCAGCUCCAAGUGCCCCUCUCAGGACUGGAUUUCACACCUCGUCACAGUCUGAAGCUGCACAAGAAAUCCUGGCUGGGAGAGCCACCACUUCCCUGAGCUCUCUCUUAGUGUGGGAAACCUUUCUACUGAGCCUCAAGUCCUACUCUUAAAGGAGUGGCAGAGAAAACAGGAUCAAGCCCAGAUUUCCAUUUCUACACAUAUUUGAAGAGCCAACACUAUUUCUGCAGGAAGAAAUGGCUAAACUUCCCAUUGUCUUUAAAAAGGCAAAGAAUGAAAGUAUCAGUCAAAUAUAUUUAAUUUGAUGGUAAAAGUCAGCAAUCAGUUGGUGUUACAUAAGUUGUGUCCCCAUACAGUUGAGAAACUCAACCCAGCCCGCCCUUUCCUGCCAAAGUGGAGCUUGGAGGCCCCAAGAAUCUCUUCUGCAGUAGUACUUCAGCAGUAAUCCCAAGGAGCAUGUUCAGACUUUCAGUUUUCUAUCAGAGUACCUACCUUCUCAGAGGCUGGCUUUCUUCUGUACCAGAUGCUGUACAAACACAGCACUUGAUCUUGUGUGCUCCAGUGACAGAUGGACAGCAAUGGCAAUACUGUCUGACAUUUCCGUUUGUAAGUAAACCAUAACUUGGCUGGCUCCAUGAUUUGAGUGUCAAAAGGAGGCCUUUGCAAGGCCCAUAGUGGCCAUGGCUUAGUGGGAUGAUGAGUAAGCAAUCCAAGAAGUGGAUUACUUCUUGGCCGUCAGCGCGCUGUGAUUUGCUUAUUAUCUUGCUUGCUAUAAUUAAUAAAACUUUUCUUUAAUUAAAUUUUAA
Molecule: long non-coding RNA, 1034 nt
Organism: Parus major (Great Tit)
Lineage: Eukaryota; Metazoa; Chordata; Aves; Passeriformes; Paridae
Exons: 5
Source: RefSeq, a predicted model, not a curated record